GUGGGGAAUAUUGGACAAUGGGCGAAAGCCUGAUCCAGCCAUGCCGCGUGUGUGAAGAAGGUCUUCGGAUUGUAAAGCACUUUAAGUUGGGAGGAAGGGCAGUAAGUUAAUACCUUGCUGUUCUGACGUUACCGACAGAAUAAGCACCGGCUAACUUCGUGCCAGCAGCCGCGGUAAUACGAAGGGUGCAAGCGUUAAUCGGAAUUACUGGGCGUAAAGCGCGCGUAGGUGGUUUUGUAAGUUGGAGGUGAAAUCCCCGGGCUCAACCUGGGAACUGCCUCCAAAACUGCAUGACUAGAGUACGGUAGAGGGUAGUGGAAUUGCCUGUGUAGCGGUGAAAUGCGUAGAUAUAGGAAGGAACACCAGUGGCGAAGGCGACUACCUGGACUGAUACUGACACUGAGGUGCGAAAGCGUGGGGAGCAAACAGGAUUAGAAACCCUGGUAGUCC
RNAcentral lists this ribosomal RNA (450 nucleotides) under uncultured bacterium. RNAcentral describes it as "partial 16S ribosomal RNA". It matches the Rfam family "Bacterial small subunit ribosomal RNA", at positions 354 to 796 of the family's 1533-position model. The record is from RNAcentral.